RNAcentral lists this ribosomal RNA (582 nucleotides) under uncultured bacterium. RNAcentral describes it as "bacterial SSU rRNA". It matches the Rfam family "Bacterial small subunit ribosomal RNA", at positions 869 to 1450 of the family's 1533-position model. The record is from RNAcentral.
CCGCCUGGGGAGUACGGCCGCAAGGUUAAAAACUCAAAUGAAUUGACGGGGGCCCGCACAAGCGGUGGAGCAUGUGGUUUAAUUCGACGCAACGCGAAGAACCUUACCUGGCCUUGACAUGCAGAGAACUUUCCAGAGAUGGAUUGGUGCCUUCGGGAACUCUGACACAGGUGCUGCAUGGCCGUCGUCAGCUCGUGUCGUGAGAUGUUGGGUUAAGUCCCGUAACGAGCGCAACCCCUAUCCCUAGUUGCUAGCAGUUCGGCUGAGAACUCUAGGGAGGCUGCCGGUGACAAACCGGAGGAAGGUGGGGAUGACGUCAGGUCAUCAUGGCCCUUACGGCCAGGGCUACACACGUGCUACAAUGGUGCGUACAGAGGGCUGCAAACCCGCGAGGGGGAGCUAAUCUCACAAAACGCAUCGUAGUCCGGAUCGGAGUCUGCAACUCGACUCCGUGAAGUCGGAAUCGCUAGUAAUCGCGAAUCAGAAUGUCGCGGUGAAUACGUUCCCGGGCCUUGUACACACCGCCCGUCACACCAUGGGAGUGGAGUGCACCAGAAGUGGUUAGUCUAACCUCCGGGAGGA